This 524-nucleotide ribosomal RNA is filed under the name Bifidobacterium dentium. Its description in RNAcentral is "bacterial SSU rRNA". It matches the Rfam family "Bacterial small subunit ribosomal RNA", at positions 161 to 696 of the family's 1533-position model. The record is from RNAcentral. Lineage: Bacteria; Bacillati; Actinomycetota; Actinomycetes; Bifidobacteriales; Bifidobacteriaceae.
UGGUAAUGCCGGAUGCUCCGGUUGGAUGCAUGUCCUUCCGGGAAAGAUCCAUCGGUAUGGGAUGGGGUCGCGUCCUAUCAGCUUGAUGGCGGGGUAACGGCCCACCAUGGCUUCGACGGGUAGCCGGCCUGAGAGGGCGACCGGCCACAUUGGGACUGAGAUACGGCCCAGACUCCUACGGGAGGCAGCAGUGGGGAAUAUUGCACAAUGGGCGCAAGCCUGAUGCAGCGACGCCGCGUGCGGGAUGGAGGCCUUCGGGUUGUAAACCGCUUUUGAUCGGGAGCAAGCCCUUCGGGGUGAGUGUACCCUUCGAAUAAGCACCGGCUAACUACGUGCCAGCAGCCGCGGUAAUACGUAGGGUGCAAGCGUUAUCCGGAAUUAUUGGGCGUAAAGGGCUCGUAGGCGGUUCGUCGCGUCCGGUGUGAAAGCCCAUCGCUUAACGGUGGGUCUGCGCCGGGUACGGGCGGGCUGGAGUGCGGCAGGGGAGACUGGAAUUCCCGGUGUAACGGUGGAAUGUGUAGAUA